Molecule: ribosomal RNA, 471 nt
Filed under: uncultured bacterium
Lineage: Bacteria
Description: partial 16S ribosomal RNA
Rfam family: Bacterial small subunit ribosomal RNA
Source: RNAcentral
GACGAACGCUGGCGGCGUGCUUAACACAUGCAAGUCGAACGAUGAAGCCUAGCUUGCUAGGUGGAUUAGUGGCGAACGGGUGAGUAAUACGUGAGUAACCUACCUUUAACUCUGGGAUAAGCCUGGGAAACUGGGUCUAAUACCGGAUACGACCAAUCUCCGCAUGGGGUGUUGGUGGAAAGCGUUAUGUAGUGGUUAUAGAUGGGCUCACGGCCUAUCAGCUUGUUGGUGAGGUAACGGCUCACCAAGGCGACGACGGGUAGCCGGCCUGAGAGGGUGACCGGCCACACUGGGACUGAGACACGGCCCAGACUCCUACGGGAGGCAGCAGUGGGGAAUAUUGCACAAUGGGCGCAAGCCUGACGCAGCGACGCCGCGUGAGGGAUGACGGCCUUCGGGUUGUAAACCUCUGUUAGCAGGGAAGAAGAGAAAUUGACGGUACCUGCAGAGAAAGCGCCGGCUAACUACGUG